RNAcentral lists this ribosomal RNA (508 nucleotides) under uncultured bacterium. RNAcentral describes it as "partial 16S ribosomal RNA". It matches the Rfam family "Bacterial small subunit ribosomal RNA", at positions 28 to 523 of the family's 1533-position model. The record is from RNAcentral.
GAUGAACGCUAGCUACAGGCUUAACACAUGCAAGUCGAGGGGAAGCGAUAUUGGAAGCUUGCUUCCGAUAGGCGUCGACCGGCGCACGGGUGAGUAACGCGUAUCCAACCUGCCCACCACUUGGGGAUAACCUUGCGAAAGUAAGACUAAUACCCAAUGACGUCCAUAGAAGACAUCUGAAAUGGAUUAAAGAUUUAUCGGUGAUGGAUGGGGAUGCGUCUGAUUAGCUUGUUGGCGGGGUAACGGCCCACCAAGGCGACGAUCAGUAGGGGUUCUGAGAGGAAGGUCCCCCACAUUGGAACUGAGACACGGUCCAAACUCCUACGGGAGGCAGCAGUGAGGAAUAUUGGUCAAUGGGCGAGAGCCUGAACCAGCCAAGUAGCGUGCAGGAUGACGGCCCUAUGGGUUGUAAACUGCUUUUAUAAGGGAAUAAAGUGAGCCUCGUGAGGCUUUUUGCAUGUACCUUAUGAAUAAGGACCGGCUAAUUCCGUGCCAGCAGCCGCAGUAA